Molecule: non-coding RNA, 344 nt
Organism: Nicotiana tabacum (common tobacco)
Lineage: Eukaryota; Viridiplantae; Streptophyta; Magnoliopsida; Solanales; Solanaceae
Source: RefSeq, a predicted model, not a curated record
UAAAAUAAAGAAGGAAGGCAAUUAAGUGGGCUUUAGCCCAUCUGCUUCAAAAUGACGAAGCUAGAAAAGGGUUUGAAACAAAAAUUCCUUUAGCCAACCACAUGUCAAACGGGGGAAAAGAAAGAAAACGAUUAUACUGUUUCUUAGCGCCGAAUACCGUGUUUCACUUCGUCAUCAGCAUAUAUUCUUGAGCGUCACCAAUAAACUCCAGAUUGAUUGAAGGAAGCUGUACGGAUUGCCCGAGGUAACGAGUUUGGUAUUUCGGCACGAGUACUAGGCAAUAGUUGACGCGAGCGAGGAUUCCGUUAAUUAAAGUACACAAUUUGCUAGUUCCUGGUGAGCCC